GACGAACGCUGGCGGCGUGCUUAACACAUGCAAGUCGAACGGAAAGGCCCUGCUUUUGUGGGGUGCUCGAGUGGCGAACGGGUGAGUAACACGUGAGUAACCUGCCCUUGACUUUGGGAUAACUUCAGGAAACUGGGGCUAAUACCGGAUAGGAGCUCCUGCUGCAUGGUGGGGGUUGGAAAGUUUCGGCGGUUGGGGAUGGACUCGCGGCUUAUCAGCUUGUUGGUGGGGUAGUGGCUUACCAAGGCUUUGACGGGUAGCCGGCCUGAGAGGGUGACCGGCCACAUUGGGACUGAGAUACGGACCAGACUCCUACGGGAGGCAGCAGUGGGGAAUAUUGCAGAAUGGGCGGAAGCCUGAUGCAGCAACGCCGCGUGCGGGAUGACGGCCUUCGGGUUGUAAACCGCUUUCGACUGUGACGAAGCGUGAGUGACGGUAAUGGGUAAAGAAGCACCGGCUAACUACGUG
This 468-nucleotide ribosomal RNA is filed under the name uncultured bacterium. RNAcentral describes it as "partial 16S ribosomal RNA". It matches the Rfam family "Bacterial small subunit ribosomal RNA", at positions 28 to 507 of the family's 1533-position model. The record is from RNAcentral.